Molecule: ribosomal RNA, 1440 nt
Filed under: Trissodon sp. NLG-2014
Lineage: Eukaryota; Metazoa; Arthropoda; Insecta; Coleoptera; Scarabaeidae
Description: partial 16S ribosomal RNA
Source: RNAcentral
AAAUUUAAAGAAUCUGGCGGUAUUUUAGUCUAUUCAGAGGAACCUGUCCUAUAAUUGAUAGUCCACGAUUAAUUGUACUUAUUUUUAGUUUGUAUAUCGUCGUAGGUUGAAUGUUUUAAAAGAAAAUGGAAUGUUCAUGAUUUAUAAUAAAUAAAGGAAAUCAGAUCAAGAUACAGCGUAUAAAUGAGUAGAGAUGGGUUACAAUAAAUUUAUUUAAACAGUUAAGGUAUUUAACAGUAUUUUUUAAGGUGGAUUUGAUAGUAAUAUAAUUUAAUUAAAUUAUAUGAUUUAAGCUCUAAAAUAUGCACAUAUCGCCCGUCGCUCCUUCUAUAAAGAAGGAUAAGUCGUAACAUAGUAGGUGUACUGGAAAGUGUACCUAGAAUGUCGAAUUAGAGCUUGAUAGAAAGCAUUUUAUUUACAUUAAAAAGUUAGUUGUGAGAAUCAAUUUAAUUUGAAAUUAAAAGUUUAUUAGUUAGUUAGUUGUAUAAAAAAAGUAUUUUUAAUGUUAGUAUAUUUAAGAAAUCAAUUUUAUAAUUAUAGUUUAGAGUAUAGUGAUAGAAUUAAGAAUUAGUAUGAAAAUUAAUUAUUUUAAAGAAGAAUUAAUUUUUUGUACCUUGUGUAUCAGGGUUUAUUAAAAUAAUUUAAUAAUAUUAGAGUUCUCGAAUUAAAAAGAGCUAUUACUAUAUAGAUAUAAUUGUUGCAAAAAUUUUUAAAAUAUGGUAAUUGUAAUGAAAUGUUAUUCGUUUUUUAAGAUAUCUAGUUUCUUAAGAAAUAAAUUUAAUUUAGUUUUUUAAUAUGGGUGCAUUAAUUGUUUGGUGUUUCUAUUUAAAAAUUUAAUAUUUUAAGGGAUAAGCUUUAAAAUAAAAUAUUAUAAGUUUCAUUUUAUACUCUAAAAGUUGGUAGGAUUGGAAAUGUUUAUCUGUAGUAUGUUAUAAUUAAUUUUUAGUUGAAUAAGAUUUAUAUAUUAUUUUAAUUUUUUUAUUAAGAAUAUACAUAUAAUUAUAUUUUGUAUGUAAUAAUGAUAAAAUUAGUAUAAUUUUAUGUUUGUGGUAUUGAGAUAUUUUAGGUUAAGUUAAGGAACUCGGCAAAUAUAUUUUUCGCCUGUUUAAUAAAAACAUGUCUUUUUGAUUAUAAUUUAAAGUCUAACCUGCCCAAUGAGGAGUUAAAUGGCCGCGGUAAUUUGACCGUGCAAAGGUAGCAUAAUCAUUAGUUUUUUAAUUGAAAGCUGGUAUGAAUGGUUGGACGAGAAAAUGACUGUCUCAAUUUAAUUUAAAUAGAAUUUUAUUUAUAAGUAAAAAAGCUUAUAUGAAUUUAAAAGACGAGAAGACCCUAUAGAAUUUUAUAUUUUUAAUAUUAUAUAUUUAUAGAAUUUUUAAUUUAUAAUAUGAUAAAAUAUUUUGUUGGGGCGACAAAAAAAUUGGUGUAACUUUUUUUAUAUAA